AGAGUUUGAUCAUGGCUAGAGCGAACGCUGGCGGCGUGCUUAACACAUGCAAGUCGAGUGCGCAGUUUCCUGUAGCAAUACAGGGAAUGGGCGCACGGCGCACGGGUGCGUAACACGUGGGCAAUCUGCCCUCGGAUGGGGGAUAACCCCGCGAAAGCGGGGCUAAUACCGCAUGACAUUCCGAAGACUCCGGUCUUUGGACUCAAAGGCCGCAAGGCCGUCUGAGGAGGAGCCCGCGCCCGAUUAGCUAGUUGGUGAGGUAACGGCUCACCAAGGCUUUGAUCGGUAGCCGGUCUGAGAGGAUGGCCGGCCACACUGGAACUGAGACACGGUCCAGACUCCUACGGGAGGCAGCAGUGGGGAAUAUUGCGCAAUGGGCGAAAGCCUGACGCAGCGACGCCGCGUGGGGGAUGAAGCUUCUCGGAGUGUAAACCCCUUUCGACCCGGACGAAUGACCCGCAAGGGUUUGACGGUACGGGUAUAAGAAGCCCCGGCUAACUACGUGCCAGCAGCCGCGGUAAUACGUAGGGGGCCAGCGUUGCUCGGAAUUACUGGGCGUAAAGGGUUCGUAGGUGGUGCGGCAAGUUGGAAGUGAAAUCUCUGGGCUUAACCCAGAGGCUGCUUUCAAAACUGCCGUGCUCGAGUGCGAGAGAGGCCAGUGGAAUUGCAGGUGUAGCGGUGAAAUGCGUAGAUAUCUGCAGGAACACCCGUGGCGAAGGCGGCUGGCUGGAUCGCAACUGACACUGAGGAACGAAAGCUAGGGGAGCAAACAGGAUUAGAUACCCUGGUAGUCCUAGCCCUAAACCAUCAGAACUUGGGGUGGCCCGCGUAGGCGGGUCGUCCCGUAGCUAACGCGUAAGUUCUGCGCCUGGGGAGUACGGUCGCAAGACUGAAACUCAAAGGAAUUGACGGGGGCCCGCACAAAGCCG
Molecule: ribosomal RNA, 929 nt
Filed under: uncultured bacterium
Lineage: Bacteria
Description: bacterial SSU rRNA
Rfam family: Bacterial small subunit ribosomal RNA
Source: RNAcentral